UAAUGUCUGGGAAACUGCCCGAUGGAGGGGGAUAACUACUGGAAACGGUAGCUAAUACCGCAUAGGUACGGACACUGCAUGGUGACCGUAUUAAAAGUGCCUCAAAGCACUGGUAGAGGAUGGACUUAUGGCGCAUUAGCUGGUUGGCGGGGUAACGGCCCACCAAGGCGACGAUGCGUAGCCGACCUGAGAGGGUGACCAGCCACACUGGAACUGAGACACGGUCCAG
This 229-nucleotide ribosomal RNA is filed under the name uncultured bacterium. RNAcentral's name for it is "partial 16S ribosomal RNA". It matches the Rfam family "Bacterial small subunit ribosomal RNA", at positions 111 to 334 of the family's 1533-position model. The record is from RNAcentral.